This is a non-coding RNA of Arachis ipaensis, 2079 nucleotides long. Lineage: Eukaryota; Viridiplantae; Streptophyta; Magnoliopsida; Fabales; Fabaceae. The record is from RefSeq and is a predicted model, not a curated record.
UGGUUGUUACAAGAUCAUCAUCACCUCUUCCUAUAAAAGGGAAUAGCUUGCUGCUCUAGCACAUAUAUGGCUUUCAUAUAUCCUUUCUGCAACUAUCUUCAUUCUAUCCUUGCUACUCUACUCUUUUGUUCUGCAAUCCUCUUCUACAGGGCUAGGAGUGUUUUACAGGUCACACUUGCGUGGUGCUCGUUCGCAGGGAGACGAAAUCGUUCCUAAUACGACAACGCUCGAUCCAUUAAUUGAGAAGACCACAGGAAAUGGCGGCAAAUGAUGUUCCUAACAAUGGAAUGGAAGACGGCGACUUGAAUGGAUGGAAGGAAUCGUCGAAAGCAUUACUAGGCAGUUUCCAAGCACACUCUGAGCCAAUUGGAAUUUCUAAUGUCCCAAGAAAACUCCGUGAAGGUAACAAGAACGCUUUCAUGCCAAAGACCAUUUCCAUCGGCCCUCGUUACAAGGGAGCUAGAAGGGACCUAAUGAAAUGGCAAAACAUCAAAUUGCACUCCAUGCAAUCUCUUCUUCAUCGGGGACCAAACAAACCAGCAAAAAUAAAGCUUCAAGAAUGCAUGGAGGCCAUUUUGAAGUUGGAAAAAGAAGUUCGCGCAAACUAUGCAGAUGAUCUGAAGAUGGAAUGGAACGACCUUGCGAAUAUCAUGUUGUCUGACGCUGGUUUCUUGCUUGAGCUUCUCAUUAGUUCUUCAAAGGAAUUCAAUGAAAAACUUAAAAGCCGGUUGGCGCCUCCCAACCCGGAUGGCAAAGUAAAGAGAACAGGGGAGGUAGUGACUGAUUUGUUGGUGUUGGAGAACCAAAUACCGCUUAUCAUUCUCCAUAAGUUGUCUGAAAUAAUUCUAGUUGAGGAUGAUAUUUCAAUUGAAAGUUUGGCACUGAAUUUCUUUGGCUACAUCCCGGACGAAAGAUUCAAGCCGGACUUUAACCCUGGUGUUGCGUCUCGUCACUUUCUUGAACUUAUCCACUCCUACAUCUCUGAAGAUAGUGAAGAAGAGGAAGGAGAGCAACAGGUUCAGAGAAACGACGACAGAUGCGAAGGGGAUAAGAGAAGAAACUACCGAUGCUGCCAGCAAUGUUCAGCAUUAAAUGUGUUAAUAACUUCCAAACGGUAUUGAAUACCUGUGCCAAUUGUGCUUUCGUUUGUGGGUAUGAUGUGGAAGAUGCGAAGGGGAUAAGAGAAGAAACUACCGAUGCUGCCAGCAAUGUUCAGCAGCUUACUUCCUAUGCUCAACUCAAUCGAUGUGCUUCCAUUCUUGCAGGUACUGGGGUUACAAUAAUCAAAACUAUACGCAGUAACGAGGAAAAGCAUGAGAACCAAACUCAAGGACCAAAUGAAAUAAGGGGCUUCAACUUUAACAUAAAAUUUCAGAGGACCAAUGGAACUCUGGAAAUUCCACAGCUUCACAUCACAAAAUCAACAGAAGUGACGUGGCGGAAUCUCAUUGCUUGGGAGCAAAGCCACAACGGAUUCAGCUGCAAACACAAGUGUACUUGGGCUGCAUUAUUUUUCAACGGCUUAAUGUGUUGCGAAAACGAUGUUCAGCUUCUCAAAGAUAAACAAGUGAUAGUGGAUCACUUGGACUUGGGCAACCGCAAAUUGUUAGAGUUCUUCCGUUCCAUCAUCCAUGGAGUUGAUUCUGACAAGGCAAGUGAUUCUCCUUACUGGGAAAUGGUUAGCGUGAUUAACUCCUAUCACGGCACAUGUUGCCUCGGCAUAAAAAAAUACUCCAUAAUACUGCGCCAUUCUUAGAUCCCAACAGUUUUUCGCCACUUUGACCGACUUGUGUUGCGUGGUUACAACCUUCUCAUUGGAAUGAUAUCUCUUUACGCUCUUAUGCAGACCAUCUAUACUAUCCUCGGCUACUAUAAACAUCCAAGAGUGAGAAAUUCUGGUCAAAUGUUUUCGCCGCCUCCUCGCUCCCUACCUCGCCGCCCCCCACCCCUACCACCACCUCCUCCUCUCGGAGGCAUUCACUAAUUUUGUGUUCUUUUAUUUCCAAAUAAAAGGAAUCGACUAUUUAUAUUAGAUGUAAAUAUGAACAUAAUGUAAAGUGGAGUAUCUCAUUUUGGAAG